UAUCACCUUACUAUCUUGGCAGAUGAGCUAUUUUUCAGUCAACGCGUGGCGAGUCCACUUGGAACUGAAUAGGCACUGGUUCUUCUUCUUACUCUCCAUGAGCCCCUUAUACUACUGCUAUGGUUUAUGUGCCUACUUUUAACUCUCUAAUCUGAAAUUGGGCUGCUUUGUUUCAGCUGAUCUGAUAGUGUGGGUGGGAUAUACAGAACAACCUUGAGAUGUGUCUGCGACCAAUCCACAUUCGGCACAACUCCCACAACUUGAACACCAAGCUCUUUGCCAUUUAAGUACGUAUCUGCACCCCAAAUGGCUUAUUUCAAAGUGUAGAGCGUAGUUUGCAACUGAAUGGCUCAGUUUGUCCUGUGAUUGCGUCAUGUGUAAUUUAAAUUCACUACUACCAGCACUAGCCGUUGUAACUGUGGCUCACUGGUUGUAUUAGGAAAUGCUCUGCUAAUGUUUGUGCAACUCAUGACCGGUAUUUGAAUCAAUUCACUAGGCAUUACGUAACAGCUGAACACCACUUUUAUUUUAUGGUAGAUGGUUGAGAGAAUAAACUAGAUGGAUGACAAAUCCGAGAAGGGCAUUGAACAAAGUGUAGGUAUCAUGGUAAA
Molecule: long non-coding RNA, 611 nt
Filed under: Triticum aestivum (bread wheat)
Lineage: Eukaryota; Viridiplantae; Streptophyta; Magnoliopsida; Poales; Poaceae
Description: long non-coding RNA (TAES_LNC001447)
Source: RNAcentral